CAUGUUAAAACACUAGUUCCCAUACGAUCACCAAAGUUAAGCAACAUCAAGCCUGGUCAGUACCUAGAUGGGUAACCACUUGGGAAUACAAGGUGCUGCAAG
Molecule: ribosomal RNA, 102 nt
Filed under: Acanthosepion pharaonis
Lineage: Eukaryota; Metazoa; Mollusca; Cephalopoda; Sepiida; Sepiidae
Source: RNAcentral